AUGCUUGUUGAGACAAACAAGCAUGAACAAUACUAUAUUGUUUACAAGCUUCUUAAAUUGGUAUUAAUUCUGCCAGUAGCUACUGCUAGUGUUGAAAGGGUGUUCUCUUCAAUGAACUAUGUGAAGAAUAAGCUAAGGGGCAAAAUGGGUGAUGAUUACUUGAAUAAUUGUUUGGUUACAUUUGUUGAGAGAGAAUUCUUCAAUCAAGUAAAGGAUGAGAAUGUCAUCAAUCUCUUCCAAAAAGGCGAUCGCAAAGUUAUAUUGUAA
RNAcentral lists this ribosomal RNA (267 nucleotides) under Triticum aestivum (bread wheat). Its description in RNAcentral is "partial small subunit ribosomal RNA". The record is from RNAcentral. Lineage: Eukaryota; Viridiplantae; Streptophyta; Magnoliopsida; Poales; Poaceae.